CGCCGCCGCGGUAAUACCGGCGGCCCGAGUGGCGGUCACUAUUAUUGGGCUUAAAGCGUCCGUAGCCGGGUUGGGAAGUCCUCCGGGAAAUCUGGCCGCUUAACGGUCAGAAUGCCGGAGGAUACUCCCAGCCCAGGGAGCGGGAGAGGCCGAGGGGAUUCCCGGAGUAGGGGGGAAAUCCUAUAAUCCCGGGAGGACCACCUGUGGCGAAGGCGCUCGGCGGGAACGCGUCCGACGGUGAGGGACGAAGGCCAGGGGAGCAAACCGGAUUAGAUACCCGGGUAGUCCUGGCUGUAAACGAUGCGGACUUUGUGUCGGACAAGCUAUGAGCUUGUCCGGUGCCGGAGGGAAACCGUUAAGUCCGCCGCCUGGGGAGUACGGCCGCAAGGCUGAAGCUUAAAGGAAUUGGCGGG
Molecule: ribosomal RNA, 413 nt
Filed under: uncultured microorganism
Description: bacterial SSU rRNA
Rfam family: Archaeal small subunit ribosomal RNA
Source: RNAcentral